GAUGAACGCUGGCGGCGUGCCUAAUACAUGCAAGUCGAGCGAACGGACGAUACUUGUGGGGCUCUGGUGUUACCGGCGGACGGGUGAGUAGCACGUGGAUAACCCCUCACUAAGACUUGGACAACUGAGGGAAACCGUAACUAAUGCCAGGUACUUGUUUGAGCCGGAGGGUUGAAAAGUUAAAGACGGUCUAGCGGUCACUUAUAGAUGUAUCCGCGCUGCGUUAGAGAGUUGGCAAGGUAACGGCUUAACAAGGCAACGAUGCAUGGCCGACGUGGGAGGGUGGUCGGCCACACUGGAACUGCGGCACGGUCCAGACUCCUACGCGAGGCAGCAGCCGGCAAUCUUCCGCAAUGGGCGAAAGCGUGACGGAGCCGCGCCGCGUGAGUGAUGACGGUCUUCGGAUCGUGAAACUCUGUUAUUAGGGAACACCAUAUGUGUAAGUCAAUGUGCACGUCGUGACGGUAGUUAAUCAGAAAGCAACGGCUAACUACGUG
RNAcentral lists this ribosomal RNA (497 nucleotides) under uncultured bacterium. RNAcentral describes it as "partial 16S ribosomal RNA". It matches the Rfam family "Bacterial small subunit ribosomal RNA", at positions 28 to 507 of the family's 1533-position model. The record is from RNAcentral.